AGCGAACGCUGGCGGCAGGCUUAACACAUGCAAGUCGAGCGGGGGAAGGCAGCUUGCUACCGGACCUAGCGGCGGACGGGUGAGUAAUGCUUAGGAAUCUGCCUAUUAGUGGGGGACAACAUCUCGAAAGGGAUGCUAAUACCGCAUACGUCCUACGGGAGAAAGCAGGGGAUCUUCGGACCUUGCGCUAAUAGAUGAGCCUAAGUCGGAUUAGCUAGUUGGUGGGGUAAAGGCCUACCAAGGCGACGAUCUGUAGCGGGUCUGAGAGGAUGAUCCGCCACACUGGGACUGAGACACGGCCCAGACUCCUACGGGAGGCAGCAGUGGGGAAUAUUGGACAAUGGGGGGAACCCUGAUCCAGCCAUGCCUGGUGUGUGAAGAAGGCCUUAUGGUUGUAAAGCACUUUAAGCGAGGAGGAGGCUACUCUAGUUAAUACCUAGGGAUAGUGGACGUUACUCGCAGAAUAAGCACCGGCUAACUCUGUGCCAGCCGCCGCCGUAA
Molecule: ribosomal RNA, 501 nt
Filed under: uncultured bacterium
Lineage: Bacteria
Description: partial 16S ribosomal RNA
Rfam family: Bacterial small subunit ribosomal RNA
Source: RNAcentral